GAUGAAGAACGUAGCGAAAUGCGAUAAGUAAUGUGAAUUGCAGAAUUCAGUGAAUCAUCGAAUCUUUGAACGCAUCUUGCGCUCCUUGGUAUUCUGAGGAGCAUGCCUGUUUGAGUGUCAUUAAAUUCUCAACUCCACUGACUUUGAAUUGGUGUGGCUUGGAUUUGGGGGGAAAAUUGUUGUGGGCUUUUUGUAUAGUCUGCUCCCCUGAAAUUGAUUAGCGGUACCUUUGUGGAACUGUCUACAGGUGUGAUAAUUAUCUACAUCUUAGACAUCUGCUGGAAUGCUGCUUUCUAAACCUUACUUGUAUUGACAAUCUUGACCUCAAAUCAGGUAGGACUACCCGCUGAACUUAAGCAUAUCAAUAAGCGGAGGA
RNAcentral lists this unclassified non-coding RNA (376 nucleotides) under soil metagenome. RNAcentral's name for it is "partial contains 5.8S ribosomal RNA, internal transcribed spacer 2, and large subunit ribosomal RNA". The stretch from base 1 to 120 matches the Rfam family "5.8S ribosomal RNA", at positions 35 to 154 of the family's 154-position model. The record is from RNAcentral.